UGCGUUUGGAGUGCUGCAUCCGUUGUCCUUCAUCUCGUCGUCGGAUUCGAACUCUGUAACGAUGCUAAGGAAAACUAGAUAUGAGAGGCCACUUUUUUGGAGCCCUACUGCAGAGGCUUUUUUGCUAGAGAGAUUAUACGAAUAUCACGACGAUAACCACGGUCGCCUACCAGAAUCUCGUCACAAUAAUCAAUGGGCAUCAGAAAUGGAAUGCUUUUUUUAUGGCUAUGUUCCUGAUGGUGAGCGUCUUAGGGAGAAAUGCCGACAAUUGGGUAAGGUAUACGCCGCGUACAAAAUGUUACAAAGUCAUACAGGAGUAGGAUGAGAUUCGACCACUACAACUUUCACCUGUUCCGAGGAGCUGCAGAAAGAUCUUUGUAAGAGAAAUCACAAUGUGAAAACAUUGUUUACUAAUGGAUGGA
Molecule: long non-coding RNA, 422 nt
Organism: Morus notabilis
Lineage: Eukaryota; Viridiplantae; Streptophyta; Magnoliopsida; Rosales; Moraceae
Exons: 3
Source: RefSeq, a predicted model, not a curated record